RNAcentral lists this small RNA (245 nucleotides) under Staphylococcus aureus. Its description in RNAcentral is "HMPRFS0000_1785". Lineage: Bacteria; Bacillati; Bacillota; Bacilli; Caryophanales; Staphylococcaceae. The record is from RNAcentral.
UGAGUCCAGAAGAGUUAAGACAAAUUGAAGCAAAAAUCAUUUUGGGCAACACAUAUCAUUUGUGGUUACAACCCGGAAAUGAUAUUAUCAAACACGCUGGGGGAUUACAUAAAUUCAUGAAUUGGGAUGGUCCGAUUCUUACAGAUUCAGGCGGUUUCCAAGUGUUUAGUUUAAGUAAUUUACGUAAAAUUACAGAAGAAGGCGUGGAAUUUAGACAUCAUACUAAUGGGUCUAAAUUAUUUUUG